GGAAUCGGAUCCUAGCUCAGGUUUUAUUUUAAAUUUCGAGUUUUCUCUUGUUUGUUUAUCCCUGGGUUGGAGGGGAAGGGUGCCUCACCGUUUUUUAUUCACUUCUUCUGUGAGAUAAGUCACUGUGCUGAUGCUUUAAAAUCGUUUUUGAUUUUUGGGUUUUGCUAAAAUCCAUGGAUUUUUAGUUAUGGAUACUGUCGUCGCUGUUAUUGGGCUUUGCAUGGUUGGUUUUGUUUUCGUCGCUGAGAAAGCUGAGGGAAUAACUUGAAAUGAAAUAUACAUAUUGAGUUUUGUCGAAAAUGUAAAGCUAAAUUUAUUUAUGUUGAGAAUAUAGUUCCAUUUUAAUUGGUGCUAGAUAUUG
This 361-nucleotide unclassified non-coding RNA is filed under the name Hevea brasiliensis (rubber tree). The record is from RNAcentral. Lineage: Eukaryota; Viridiplantae; Streptophyta; Magnoliopsida; Malpighiales; Euphorbiaceae.